CCUACGGGUGGCUGCAGUGGGGAAUAUUGGACAAUGGGGGCAACCCUGAUCCAGCCAUGCCGCGUGUGUGAAGAAGGCCCUCGGGUUGUAAAGCACUUUCAGUGAGGAAGAACGCCUGGUGGUUAAUACCCAUCAGGAAAGACAUCACUCACAGAAGAAGCACCGGCUAACUCCGUGCCAGCAGCCGCGGUAAUACGGAGGGUGCGAGCGUUAAUCGGAAUUACUGGGUGUAAAGCGCGCGUAGGUGGCUUGAUAAGCCGGUUGUGAAAGCCCCGGGCUCAACCUGGGAACGGCAUCCGGAACUGUCAAGCUAGAGUGCAGGAGAGGAAGGUAGAAUUCCCGGUGUAGCGGUGAAAUGCGUAGAGAUCGGGAGGAAUACCAGUGGCGAAGGCGGCCUUCUGGACUGACACUGACACUGAGGUGCGAAAGCGUGGGUAGCAAACAGGAUUAGAUACCCUGGUAGUC
Molecule: ribosomal RNA, 465 nt
Filed under: Vreelandella stevensii
Lineage: Bacteria; Pseudomonadati; Pseudomonadota; Gammaproteobacteria; Oceanospirillales; Halomonadaceae
Description: partial 16S ribosomal RNA
Rfam family: Bacterial small subunit ribosomal RNA
Source: RNAcentral